UCCCUCCAAGCAUGGCGCUCCUAUUCAUGCAGCUGGCACCGACAUGCAGUAGCCUGUCCUCCUUCGCCUCUCACUUGGAGAGUUGCAGCCACAGCCCUCUCCUUGAUCCUCAAACAGAGCAUUAAUUUGGAGGAAUUCACAAAUGACAUGGUGAGAGAGCAUGGCGAGGCGACGACACCACAGCCCGAAUGAAAACAUCGGAGCGAACUCAGCUGAGGAAGGAAAAGUUGAACUAAUGACUUCAGGAGGAAAAAAUACGCAGGUGCAACUUCCGGGGGCAGUUCUCCAGAAUGGCUGUAUCAGUUUUCAUUCCCACCAGCAACUAAGAAACCAGCAUUUCCAGGUAACUCUUUGAUGGCCAGUUUCUCCCAUUAGAAGAAACUAAGGAUGCAUUUCCAAGUGCUUGAUAAGGGAACUGGAAGCAUGCUUUAUGAAGCCACUGGGGGACAGCGAGACAUGAAGCGCAUGUGAUCUCAGCAGUACUUCUAUGAAAA
Non-coding RNA from Rattus norvegicus (Norway rat), 494 nucleotides. NCBI's taxonomy places the organism in Eukaryota, Metazoa, Chordata, Mammalia, Rodentia, Muridae. The record is from RefSeq and is a predicted model, not a curated record.